CCCUUAGAUGUCCGGGGCUGCACGCGCGCUACACUGAAGGAAUCAGCGUGCUAAAACCAUUGUCGAAAGGCACUGGUAAACCCAUUAAAAUCCUACGUGAUUGGGAUCGGGAAUUGCAAUUAUUUCCCUUGAACGAGGAAUUCCCAGUAAGUGUGGGUCAUAAGCUCGCGUUGAUUACGUCCCUGCCCUUUGUACACACCGCCCGUCGCUGCCCGGGACUGAGCCGUUUCGAGAAAAGCGGGGACUGCUGCUGUCGGGGCUUUCGGGCCUUGGCUUCGGUGGAAACCGCUUUAAUCGCAGUGGCUUGAACCGGGCAAAAGUCGUAACA
This 328-nucleotide ribosomal RNA is filed under the name uncultured eukaryote. Its description in RNAcentral is "partial 18S ribosomal RNA". It matches the Rfam family "Eukaryotic small subunit ribosomal RNA", at positions 1470 to 1796 of the family's 1831-position model. The record is from RNAcentral.